This 30-nucleotide non-coding RNA is filed under the name Rattus norvegicus (Norway rat). Lineage: Eukaryota; Metazoa; Chordata; Mammalia; Rodentia; Muridae. The record is from RNAcentral.
UGGUUCUUCUUUGUGCACAGCUACUUACUU